Molecule: transfer RNA, 31 nt
Filed under: Parasphaerichthys ocellatus (eyespot gourami)
Lineage: Eukaryota; Metazoa; Chordata; Actinopteri; Anabantiformes; Osphronemidae
Description: partial tRNA-Thr
Source: RNAcentral
GUCUUAGUAGCUCAGUAACAGAGCACCGGUC